GAAAAGAGCCAUCUGGCUGUGACAUUUGUUGCUCAUUAGCCACCAAGGUGGGUUCUGCUCAUCUGAUUGGCUAAAUAGUGUCCUUGUCUUCUCUCACUGCUCCAUACACAUCUGUCCUGACCUUCAUACCUGGCCAUAGAGGGUAACCUUCACUGAUAGAGGAGCACCAUUCUUCCGUAAAGUGUAUAUGAAUAGUCGUAAUCCCAGUUAGAACCUCCCAACAAGGUCUAAAGGUUCAUUUGUAGAACAACAUAGGAUAGCCAAGCUUCCAAGACUCAAAACACACCCACACAAGGUUCUUCAUGUGACAAGCUGCCUUUCUUU
Molecule: unclassified non-coding RNA, 324 nt
Organism: Erinaceus europaeus (western European hedgehog)
Lineage: Eukaryota; Metazoa; Chordata; Mammalia; Eulipotyphla; Erinaceidae
Gene: 7SK
Rfam family: 7SK RNA
About the family: 7SK was discovered as an abundant small nuclear RNA in the mid-70s but a possible function has only recently been suggested. Two independent studies have found that 7SK RNA binds the CDK9/cyclin T complex (known as elongation factor P-TEFb).
Source: Ensembl